Molecule: ribosomal RNA, 447 nt
Filed under: uncultured organism
Description: partial 16S ribosomal RNA
Rfam family: Bacterial small subunit ribosomal RNA
Source: RNAcentral
ACUCUACGGGAGGCAGCAGUGGGGAAUAUUGGACAAUGGGCGCAAGCCUGAUCCAGCCAUGCCGCGUGAGUGAUGAAGGCCCUAGGGUUGUAAAGCUCUUUCACCGGUGAAGAUAAUGACGGUAACCGGAGAAGAAGCCCCGGCUAACUUCGUGCCUGCAGCCGCGGUAAUACGAAGGGGGCUAGCGUUGUUCGGAUUUACUGGGCGUAAAGCGCACGUAGGCGGACUAUUAAGUCAGGGGUGAAAUCCCGGGGCUCAACCCCGGAACUGCCUUUGAUACUGGUAGUCUUGAGUUCGAGAGAGGUGAGUGGAAUUCCGAGUGUAGAGGUGAAAUUCGUAGAUAUUCGGAGGAACACCAGUGGCGAAGGCGGCUCACUGGCUCGAUACUGACGCUGAGGUGCGAAAGCGUGGGGAGCAAACAGGAUUAGAAACCCUAGUAGUCCCAUG